Molecule: ribosomal RNA, 498 nt
Filed under: uncultured bacterium
Lineage: Bacteria
Description: partial 16S ribosomal RNA
Rfam family: Bacterial small subunit ribosomal RNA
Source: RNAcentral
AUUGAACGCUGGCGGCAUGAUUUACACAUGCAAGUCGAACGGUAACAGGCCGCAAGGUGCUGACGAGUGGCGAACGGGUGAGUAAUGCAUCGGAACGUGCCCAGUCGUGGGGGAUAACGCAGCGAAAGCUGCGCUAAUACCGCAUACGAUCUCUGGAUGAAAGCGGGGGACCGAAAGGCCUCGCGCGAUUGGAGCGGCCGAUGUCAGAUUAGGUAGUUGGUGGGGUAAGGGCCCACCAAGCCAACGAUCUGUAGCUGGUCUGAGAGGACGACCAGCCACACUGGGACUGAGACACGGCCCAGACUCCUACGGGGGGCAGCAGUGGGGAAUUUUGGACAAGGGGCGCAAGCCUGAUCCAGCAAUGCCGCGUGCAGGAAGAAGGCCUUCGGGUUGUAAACUGCUUUUGUACGGAACGAAACGGUCCGGGUUAAUACCCUGGGCUAAUGACGGUACCGUAAGAAUAAGCACCGGCUAACUACGUGCCAGCCGCCGCCGUAA